Long non-coding RNA from Cyprinus carpio (common carp), 283 nucleotides. RefSeq lists it as uncharacterized. The record is from RefSeq and is a predicted model, not a curated record. The transcript has 2 exons. NCBI's taxonomy places the organism in Eukaryota, Metazoa, Chordata, Actinopteri, Cypriniformes, Cyprinidae.
GUCACCAUCAGGUACGAACACACCAUCACCGACGCACACCAUCAGGUACGAACACACCAUCACCGACGCACACCAUCAGGUACGAGCACACCAUCAGGUACGAACACACCAUCACCGACGCACACCAUCAGGUACGAGCACACCAUCAGGUACGAACACACCAUCACCGACGCACACCAUCAGGUACGAACACACCAUCACCGACACUCACCAUCAGGUACGAACACACCAUCACCAACGUACACCAUCAGGUACAAAUACAUGUUACCAAAGCACACCAUCA